This 509-nucleotide ribosomal RNA is filed under the name Euryattus sp. Queensland. Its description in RNAcentral is "partial 16S ribosomal RNA". The stretch from base 122 to 417 matches the Rfam family "Bacterial large subunit ribosomal RNA", at positions 2074 to 2646 of the family's 2925-position model. The record is from RNAcentral. Lineage: Eukaryota; Metazoa; Arthropoda; Arachnida; Araneae; Salticidae.
CUAAGGUAGCAUAAUCAUUUGUCUUUCAAUUGAAGACUAGAACAAAAGAUUUAACAUUUAAAUUUUUUUCUUCAAUUUAAAUCUCAAUAUUCUCUUAAAUGUAAAAAGACAUUUAUCAAAAAGAAAGACGACAAGACCCUAUUAAACUUAACUUAAGUUAAACUGGGGCAGUUAAUUAAUUAUCAUUUUAUAUAAAAAUAUGAAAUCAAACAUCCAAUAUAAUUGACUAAUUCAGUUACUAUAGGGAUAACAGCGCAAUUAAUAUUCAAAGAUCUCAUAAAAAUAUUAGAUUACGACCUCGAUGUUGAAUUAAUUACCUAAUUAAAGCAAAUUUUAAAAAAGGAAGUCUGUUCGACUUUUAAAAAAUUACAUGAUUUGAGUUCAGACCGGUGUAAGCCAGGUCGGCUUCUAUCUUCUAAAUCAUAUCUAUACAGUACGAAAGGACCUAUAGAAAAUUUAUAAUUUAUUGGCAGACAAAUGCAUUAGAAUUAGAAUCUAAUUAAACUAAU